Molecule: ribosomal RNA, 492 nt
Filed under: uncultured bacterium
Lineage: Bacteria
Description: partial 16S ribosomal RNA
Rfam family: Bacterial small subunit ribosomal RNA
Source: RNAcentral
AUUGAACGCUGGCGGCAUGCUUUACACAUGCAAGUCGAACGGUAACAGGCCUUCGGGUGCUGACGAGUGGCGAACGGGUGAGUAAUGCAUCGGAACGUACCCAGAGGUGGGGGAUAACGCAGCGAAAGCUGUGCUAAUACCGCAUGUGAUCUGAGGAUGAAAGCGGGGGACCGAGCAGCAAUGUUUUGCCUCGCGCCUUUGGAGCGGCCGAUGUCGGAUUAGCUAGUUGGUGGGGUAAAGGCCUACCAAGGCGACGAUCCGUAGCUGGUCUGAGAGGACGAGCAGCCACACUGGGACUGAGACACGGCCCAGACUCCUACGGGAGGCAGCAGUGGGGAAUGUUGGACAAUGGGCGCAAGCCUGAUCCAGCAAUGCCGCGUGCGGGAAGAAGGCCUUCGGGUUGUAAACCGCUUUUGGCAGGAACGAAACGGUGUCCGCUAAUACCGGGCGCUAAUGACGGUACCUGCAGAAUAAGCACCGGCUAACUACGUG